Molecule: ribosomal RNA, 805 nt
Filed under: uncultured bacterium
Lineage: Bacteria
Description: bacterial SSU rRNA
Rfam family: Bacterial small subunit ribosomal RNA
Source: RNAcentral
CAAGUCGAACGCGAAAGUUCCUUUCGGGGGACGAGUAGAGUGGCGCACGGGUGAGUAACACGUAGGUAAUCUACCUUUGGAUUGGGAAUAACAACCGGAAACGGUUGCUAAUACCGAAUAAUGCAGCGGCACCUAAUGGUGACAGUUGUUAAAGCGGGGGAUCGCAAGACCUCGCGUCUAAAGAGGAGCCUGCGGCGGAUUAGCUAGUUGGUAAGGUAAUGGCUUACCAAGGCGAUGAUCCGUAGCCGGCCUGAGAGGGCGGUCGGCCACACUGACACUGACAUACGGGUCAGACUCCUACGGGAGGCAGCAGUCGGGAAUUUUGGGCAAUGGGCGAAAGCCUGACCCAGCAACGCCGCGUGAAGGAUGAAAUCCCUCGGGAUGUAAACUUCGCAAGAACGGGAAGAAUAAGUGAGAGUUAAUAUCUCUUACGAUGACGGUACUGUUUGUAAGCUCCGGCUAACUCCGUGCCAGCAGCCGCGGUAAUACGGGGGGAGCAAGCGUUGUUCGGAUUUACUGGGCGUAAAGGGCGCGUAGGCGGCCACCGCAAGUCGAUUGUGAAAUCUCCGGGCUUAACCCGGAAAGGUCAACCGAUACUGCGGGGCUAGAGUGCAGAAGGGGCAACUGGAAUUCUCGGUGUAGCGGUGAAAUGCGUAGAUAUCGAGAGGAACACCUGCGGCGAAGGCGGGUUGCUGGGCUGACACUGACGCUGAUGUGCGAAAGCUAGGGGAGCGAACGGGAUUAGAUACCCCGGUAGUCCUAGCCUUAAACGAUGAAUGCUUGGUGUCUGGGGUUUUAUAGUCCC